Long non-coding RNA from Pocillopora damicornis (cauliflower coral), 715 nucleotides. The record is from RefSeq and is a predicted model, not a curated record. NCBI's taxonomy places the organism in Eukaryota, Metazoa, Cnidaria, Anthozoa, Scleractinia, Pocilloporidae.
GUACCUUCGCACGAGGAAGAAAAUGGCGAUUAAUGGUAAAUCCAAACUUUGUUUUUGGACAGGAAGAAAUCAACCGCCGACAACACGCUUGGGUCCAAACUCGUCCUUGGUACCUAAGCCGUACGUGUUCUUCGCCUUGGACAAACUCAAAGCCUAAGAGAAAUGUGAAAACAGUCAAAUAGAAGGGCAAGUCCGUCGAACACCGAAAAGUGAUCUUGUUGGAAGUUGAACUUCGUGUUGAGAGACAGGCUUUGGCCACAGGCAAGAAUGAACAAAGGAAAAAAAUCAUACAAUAAUAGAAGAUAAAGAUGAAAAGAACCACAAGGGAGAGGAUAAAAGAUAACUUUUUUUGGCGAGACAUUUGAUGACAGACAGAUGACCGACAAUUGAACUCAAAGUCAAGCAUAAGCACGAAACAAAAACACAAGAGGCUUGACAAAGAGCUAUCAAGUCGAAAGAAAAGUUUAAAGAAGAGGUAGAAGAUAAAUUUUUUUAGGGAUUGAUUUUCGGUCAAAAUGUUUUUAAACCUUUUUUUUGAGCAAUUUAUUUUCGAUGUCCAUAAACAAACAUGUUUAGAACAACCAAUUCUAAUUCUAAUUUUCUUAGUCACCUGUACAUUUUAUUUGAUGGAAAACGUUUCCGUUAGUAAGGUCUGUUCAAUUUUCAAUUUUCCCGCCAAAAAACUUAGAAAAAUACAGGCGCCCAAAAUACGCAU